CAAGGAUAAAAAACAAUUCUUUAAAAAUAAAUAUCCAUUAGUGGGGCUAGGAUUUGGUAGCUGGUGCUUAGAGAAAACCCUUGAUUACAUCCUCGCCCUGAUACUGUACCAGUAGCAGCUUUCACUCAAGGGAAGAGAG
This 139-nucleotide small nucleolar RNA is filed under the name Nannospalax galili (Upper Galilee mountains blind mole rat). Its description in RNAcentral is "Small nucleolar RNA SNORA30/SNORA37 family (ENSNGAG00000001820.1)". Lineage: Eukaryota; Metazoa; Chordata; Mammalia; Rodentia; Spalacidae. The record is from RNAcentral.